CAUGCAGUCUGGCGUCAACGGACAGUUUUGACACCCGUAUACCCGUAUUUCUACGAAAUACCUCUGAAACCUUUGUUGUGUUCAUCACACAGAUGAUGGACCACUCUACUUCCUUUUACAACAGGUGCCCCUACAGAUUCACAAAGUUCCAGUGUUGAGUUUCCAUGACCCCUAUUCAUCCAUGACAGGAAAAGGAAUAGAGUUGACAGGACUUCCCGCACUGUCCCUGGUAGCAGUUUAUGAGGGAACCAACCGCAGUAGACAUAGCACGCUUCAUCAAAGAUGCACCAGAUGCAGCGGCACUGUCUCCAUCACUGGUGAAAUGGGAUAUUACUAGUGGCCGGUCAUCACUCUGUAACUCACCAACACAAUUAGCGGCCCAUCUCUUCUUGUCUCCAAUGGUGGUCUCCGGAGGAAUGGUUGCAGUGCAGUCUUCAUGUCCUGGGCAGGUAACCUCUUUUCCUUUGCUUCGUAGGUCUGUUGCAUGUUGGCGGCUGACGCUGGUUCAAUAUUUGCACCAAGAAGCAUACCACGCAUACCCUCUGUUGUAAGACUGGUACCCAGGUGACCGACAGCCAUGGCCACAUUCAGCUGUGCAGCUCUUCGUCCCCUUCCAGAUCUUCUCACCUCUUCGUACAGCUUUUCUCGGUGACUGGUAUAGUGGCACUUCUUACAUCG
RNA transcript from Saccostrea cuccullata (small rock oyster), 678 nucleotides. RefSeq lists it as uncharacterized. NCBI's taxonomy places the organism in Eukaryota, Metazoa, Mollusca, Bivalvia, Ostreida, Ostreidae. The record is from RefSeq and is a predicted model, not a curated record. The transcript has 5 exons.